GGCUUCCGGCCUCGUACGUAUGGGCUACGCAUACGGCCCCGGAAGGUUCAUCCGCAAUUGUACGUUGACAAAUCAAGGGGAGCUAAACUGAAGGGCGUGGGAAGGCCAGAGAGACUGGAAGCCUCAGCUGUUGUGUGUGGAGAAGCUGUCAGCUUUCUAAGAGAGCAUGUAGCCAGCAAGCACAUCGUGGUGCUUUGGUACCAAGCUGAUACCACAGGCCUCAAUCUUUUUUUUGUGAAAAGGGAUCACAAGGAAAUGUGCUGAUGUUGAAGGGGGAAAGGUGGCGGGGGAAGAGAUUUGAGCAUCGAUGCCAUGGAUGUAACAGGAGAGCAGCAGCAGGACGUAGAGCACAAGCCGUUUAAACAGCACUUGGAUAAAGCUGCCAAUCGUGUGACUCCAGAAGCCGAGAGACAUGGUAGCUGGAAAUUUCCAGUUUGCACCGGCAAAAAGUUUCCAACAGUCUCAUGUACAUGGUAAAGUAUUUUCUUUUCCUGCUUAUUGUGACCUUUAGCUUCCAAGUGUUUCAGACCAUUUCCUUUGAACAUCUUUGCAUUGCUGUCUGUGGUAACAGCAGCACUGCUUCAGGAGGGAGGACAUUGCUGAAAUUUCGUUAGAGAGGUUUAGAACUAUUGGGAAUGAAUAGAAAAGUGUUUUCUGAAGGUGCUGCCACAUGGUUGUGGGAGAACAUGGAGGAGAAUGUGUCUGAGCAGUCUCUCAGCCUCACUUGUUCUACAAAACUUUGAUGCCCUGCUGUAAAACAACCUCAGGUACGGUGUUUGGUCCAGGACCUGAAUAUCAGCAUCUCUGGAAGGGAUGUUUUGGAGAAAAGCUCUUGAGAAUUUCAAGGCAAUUCAGAACUUUCACAGUAAAAUUUCAGUUGUGAAGGACUUCGACUUCCUCAAGUAUAUAUAAAUACACAGUGGCUGGAAUGAUAGUGGUAGUUUACAGAAUCAUAGAAUGGUUUGUGUUGGAAGGGACCUUGAAAGGCCCCCUAGUCCAGCCCCCCCUGCAGGAAGCAGGGACAUCUUCAACUAGAUCAGGUUGCUUACAGCCCUGUCCAACCUGACCUUGAAUGUUCCCAGGCAUGGGGCAUCUGCCACCUUUCUGGGCAACCUCUCUUAGUGUUUCACCACCCUCAUCAUAAAAAAUUUCUUCUAUCUAGUCUGAAUCUACCCUCUUUCAGUUUAAAACCACUAAGCCUUGUCCUAUUGCUACGGGCCGCACUAAAAUGUUUGUCCCCAUCUUUCUUAUAAGCCCCCUUUAAGUACUGAAAGGCCACAAUAAGGUCUCCCCAGAGUCUCUUCUCUGGGCUGAACAACCCCAAUUCUCUCAGCCCGUCUUAGAAGAGGUGCUCCAGACCUCUGAUCAUUUUUGUGGCUCUCCUGCUCCAACAGGUCCGUGUCUUUCCCGUGCCAAGGACUCCGGAGCCAGAUGCAGUGCUCCAGGUGGGUCUCAUGAGAGCAGAGGGGCAGAAUUGCUUCCCUUGACCUGCUGGUCAUGCAUCGUUGGAUGCAGCCCAGAACAUGGUCAGCUCUGACCUGUGAGCACAUGUUGCUGGCUCAUGUCCAUUUUUUCGUCCAAUGGUACCACCAAGUCCUCUGCAGGACUGCUCUCAACCCCUUACAUCCCCCAGCCUGUAUUGAUAUGGGGGGGGGGGGGGGGGGGGUUUGCCCAGACCCAGAUGCAGGACCUUGCCCUUGACCCUCAUGAGGUCACAUGGGUGCACUUCUCAAGCAGAGCACUGGGGGAAAAUGUUUUGGAGAGCCUUAACUCCAGUUAAUGUUAAAAUGGGUCACACACAAUGUAACUAGUGUAACAGGUUAGUUAAUGACUGGUCUUUCUCAAGGGGUGCCCUUGAAUUUGUCUGGUGCUGCUCUGUAAGACUUGUUAGCCUUGCUAGUACUCGGGUCACACUUCAGGUGCUGAGGAAUGUGACCACCCGAGUGUUAAAGCUGAUAACCUAAUAACUGCCAUCAUCCUGUGCAGGGUUGUAGGAGAGCAGCUACCGGGAGGCCACCUGGUGCCAGCACAAGCAUUCCUGCAGCUGUGUGAUUUAACCUUACUUUGGAGCUGCUCUGACCACAAGAACAGCCUCACAUAAAGCAGUACUUCACACGUUUCAGCCUGCUGCAUGCAUUCUCUGAUGUGACUCUUAUCUGAAGAGAGAGUGGGACAGGAAUGGGCCAUCAACAGAAGGAUGGGGAGACAAAGACUGUUCUAUUCCUUUGACAAUAGGUCCAGUUUAAAUGCAGAUCCACCAGAGCCAAGUGCUCUGUAGAACUUUGUUAUUCCGCGAAGGUUACCCUGCUGGUGUCUGUGCAAAAGGCAGUGGGGCUUGACACUUCACGGACAGCUGAGGCACUUAACUCUUGCCUUAACUGCAGAUAGUACUGCAACAUGAAACAGAGUGUUCCGUUAAGAAAAAUGGCAUAGCAUAAUCCCAAGGCCACUUUGCUUUUCUUUCCUUUCCCUGGCCACCAUUUCACAUGUAUUUCCAAAUUUUUAGUAGGAAUUUCUUUUUUAAAGCCAAAGGAGCUCCGUGAUGCAGUUGCCAGCACAGGCACACAAACCACUGUGCUAGUGGCAGUGACAGGUCUGCACAUUUGUCAGAGACAGCACCAAGAAUAUCUGAAGCCAGUGCAGCUCUGAGCUCUUUGUAAUGCAGAGCCAUUGUCUUAAUUCCAGUGACUGCAGCCUUCGUUUGUGAGCAUUGAACAUUUUAACUGUGAAAUGGAAAGGCUCUCCCUAGAUCAGAGCAUUAGGAGGAACAUAGUUUAGGCUUAGCAUUUCCUUUUUCUAACUGUAUGUUCUCUGUUAUGCAUGCAUAUCUCUUUAGUAAGGGGUUUAUAUAAAUGCAGGUAAAGCUUCUGGUGUUUUAAUGGAAGAUGUUGAUGGAAAAAAACCCGAGUUCACAGCACACUCAUGUUGAAUAAAUGUUUUAAAGGAGAGGCUAGUUCUGGUCGGCUCUUUAGCAUUCUGGCUUGGCUUGUGCUAGGCUGUGUGCCAGAAACACUUGAAGGGAGCAGCAUUCCUGAUCUUUGUUGAUCAUGUAGCAGCACUGGGUGAUCUGACUCCACCAGCUCCUAAAUAACAGACUGCGUUUUUUGAAGCAUGUUUAUCUUUGCAAAGGUGAAAGUUGAGAUCUGACUUCCUGACCAGUGUUAAAAUGCACCAUGGCCUCUGGCUACUUUAAGAUGAUAGUGUGACUUUGGACAAACCUGGUAGGAGCAAUACUGAAAUCAAGUUGUAAGUUAUAUUUCAUCCUGAGACUGAUGUUUCUGGCAUUACAUAAAGUAAUUUAAGUAACCAACCAAAAGAUAUCAGUUGCCUCCCAUUGCCCCUGAUUUCCAGCUCCCUUUGGGGGUGCAUGGUGCUGCUGGCAUUGUCAUAUCGCUGUAUGCAGGAAGGGCAGGCCAAACACACCAAACCCUGGCACUAGUGAUAGUCAUCUUGGUCGUACCAGUUGUUUGCAAACAUCCUGCUCAGGCUCUCCCCACAGUCUUUUCCUUUCCCUGUGCAUUCUCUGGGCAGCUGUAACAAGGCUGAUUGAUAGGCAGAGCCCCUGAGAGUUGCUAAGAUGAUGAUAAUUUCAUUAGGGAACUUGCAUUUGGUUUUAAGGCUUGUGCUUUGCUCAGUUGUUAGUUUGGAUCUGUUGUGCCUCUGUUUUACAGUAGUUAGAGGAGUCAUGUGUAUCAGGUGGUGACAGAGAUAGAUAACUGUGAAUUUUUCCUUCCUUGCCCCUGGGGUCUUGUUUUUGCCGUAGAUUAAGAACACAUUCAGAUGAAGACCAAAAUACCUGUUCUGAAGUAACCCCAAUUAUAUACUUUCAUUCAUUCUAGCAGUGGCUAGUGUAUGUCAGGAGGGGAAUUGCAGCAGUUUUAUCUAUCAUGUGCCCUACUGCAAGCAAGAGAGAAACCCAGGGGAUUUUCUUGCCAUUUUAGAUCUCAAUGGAAAUGAGAGGAACUCCCUUAUAAGCUAGAAUAAGGUAAACAGGUAUGCUUGUUAUCACAGUGUGAACUAUAUUGUUAAACUGUUUUUAUAUUACAUUUCACGAUCUGCAGAGCUUUGGACUUGAUUAUGUAAGUGUUCCCAAGAUAAUGUUCUAGUUCUCUUGGUCUGUUUUCCUUCUGGAUUUCCCUGCCUUUGCCACAUUGAGAUCCUAGUGUACUGAUCCCAGAUGGAUUUGGCUUUACGAGUCUGAGCAGAACCUAGCACCUGCUUUCACACAGGGCUGUGAAGGAUGGUCUGGGACAUCUGCCUGUUGCUUGGCAAGCCUGUUCCCCUUGUCCCGAGACUGCCUUGCUCCUUAGCUGCGCUCCCCAGUUUCCUAAGGCUGGUAUUUCCAUAGCUGCUUCUGGAUCUGGGAGGAAAGUAGAUGAUGCCCGUACCAGCGCCACCGAGGCAGCUGACAGCACGGUGCUCCCAUGACAGGGAGAGAAGUGGGUGCAACAGCCUGCGCUGUAGGUGGGGGGUAAGGGCACUGGCAUCUGGCUGUUUCCAGGAGGAAAAGGAGAAAGUCCGCAUCCUGGAAUCUGCCAUGAAUACAAAAAAGAAGAGCAAGUGCUUCAGAGUUUACUGUUAGGACGCACAGAGUAAGGGAGGACCUGUCUCUGUUCCAGAGCCAUACUCGGAAAAAUAUACAAAUAAUUAACUUUAAGCUCCUUACCUUGCCCCUUGGAUGCUGUGCAGUUGUUUGAGUUAUUAGCAUUUCCGUUUCAGAUCAAUAUGAUGCACUACAUCAAACAUCUCUCAUUUGGAAGGGAUUAUCCAGGCAUUGUGAAUCCUCUGGAUGGGACAGACCUCACUGCACACCAAGGUAAAAGGCACCUGAGAUAAAUCUCUUUUUAAGUGUCUGUAUUCAUAGGUGUCAGAAGAGAACAGGAGUGAAGUUCCCGGUGAUAUGGAGAAAUAGUGUGAAAUGGGGACAAUGGACAUCGAUUGUGACUGUGUAUGUCUGCCCAGGAAUGUGGGUAUGGUGACUAGUCAUGGGUGCGAUGUCUGAUCACAUAGGCACACAGCCUUGAGGAGACGCCUACAGUUUUGAGGAGACGCCUGCCCUUCUUCCUCUAACAAAGGGGCUAUUUAAAAAGAAUGAGAAAAGGAUGAGAGAUAUUCCAAUGCUAUCUAGAGGGAGGGAGUGCUACGUCUCCUUGCUGGAGAAGAUCCGGAUGGUCACAGAUGGUCACAAGAACAUGAAUCGCCUACAAACCUGCAAGACCACCACAUUCCAGGCAAAGGACUGAUAAGCUAAUUAACGUAUGAAGCGAGAGUAAGGGGUUUAGGU
Molecule: long non-coding RNA, 5284 nt
Organism: Falco peregrinus (peregrine falcon)
Lineage: Eukaryota; Metazoa; Chordata; Aves; Falconiformes; Falconidae
Exons: 5
Source: RefSeq, a predicted model, not a curated record